This 544-nucleotide long non-coding RNA is filed under the name Danio rerio (zebrafish). Its description in RNAcentral is "si:dkey-244a7.2 (ENSDARG00000097821.3)". The record is from RNAcentral. Lineage: Eukaryota; Metazoa; Chordata; Actinopteri; Cypriniformes; Danionidae.
CCACCCUCUCUGAGAAAAGUUGGCCAGGAAAUAACCCGUGUAGCCUCCUAAAAAGUCACAUGGGUGAAACUGUUAGUUUAUUGAGUCUGUAACGGUGAGGUGCAACAUAAGUUUAGUUCCUCAUACGAGCGCUUUCAUUUACACCUAACCGUGAAAACGCAUUAUACCUGUAGUGAGAUCACUAGCCAGAGCUCUCAUCUCCGCGCCAAAAGAGUCUUAAACGUGUACUGAGGAAUGAAAAACAAACUCGUGAUGGAGUCUGAUAUGAAGAAGAAGAAGAGGGAGAAAGUCACAUGUUGCCGAGAGGAUAGAAAUAGCUGCAGUCUCUGUCAAAACAGUUUAGUGCUUUUCUGUUCAUAUGGGAGUAAACAGACCUCGUAUGCACUCAUGACGAGGGUGUGUGAGGACAGCAGUGAGAACAGCUGCACACAGGGAACUGCUAUCUUGGUAAACAAGCCACAACGUACUCUCUGAUUAGGCAAAGUCAAACCGUUUAUGCGUUACAUCUCAUCAUGAAGGAGAUGUUCUUGAGUGUUUCAUGUUA